GAUGAACGCUGGCGGCGUGCCUAACACAUGCAAGUCGAACGGAGUCGUUUUGGAAAUCUCUUCGGAGAUGGAAUUCUCGACUUAGUGGCGGACGGGUGAGUAACGCGUGAGCAAUCUGCCUUUAAGAGGGGGAUAACAGUCGGAAACGGCUGCUAAUACCGCAUAAAGCAUUAAAUUCGCAUGUUUUUGAUGCCAAAGGAGCAAUCCGCUUUUAGAUGAGCUCGCGUCUGAUUAGCUAGUUGGCGGGGUAACGGCCCACCAAGGCGACGAUCAGUAGCCGGACUGAGAGGUUGAACGGCCACAUUGGGACUGAGACACGGCCCAGACGCCUACGGGAGGCAGCAGUGGGGAAUAUUGCGCAAUGGGGGAAACCCUGACGCAGCAACGCCGCGUGAUUGAAGAAGGCCUUCGGGGUGUAAAGAUCUUUAAUCAGGGACGAAACAAAUGACGGUACCUGAAGAAUAAGCUCCGGCUAACUACGUG
This 483-nucleotide ribosomal RNA is filed under the name uncultured bacterium. Its description in RNAcentral is "partial 16S ribosomal RNA". It matches the Rfam family "Bacterial small subunit ribosomal RNA", at positions 28 to 507 of the family's 1533-position model. The record is from RNAcentral.